RNAcentral lists this transfer RNA (75 nucleotides) under Candidatus Caccopulliclostridium gallistercoris. RNAcentral describes it as "tRNA-Gln". It matches the Rfam family "tRNA". Rfam says of the family: Transfer RNA (tRNA) molecules are approximately 80 nucleotides in length. Their secondary structure includes four short double-helical elements and three loops (D, anti-codon, and T loops). Lineage: Bacteria; Bacillati; Bacillota; Clostridia. The record is from RNAcentral.
UGGGGUGUCGCCAAGCGGUAAGGCAUGGGACUCUGACUCCCACAUUCCUAGGUUCGAAUCCUAGCACCCCAGCCA